RNAcentral lists this ribosomal RNA (440 nucleotides) under uncultured bacterium. Its description in RNAcentral is "partial 16S ribosomal RNA". It matches the Rfam family "Bacterial small subunit ribosomal RNA", at positions 338 to 795 of the family's 1533-position model. The record is from RNAcentral.
CCUACGGGUGGCAGCAGUGGGGAAUAUUUCACAAUGGGGGAAACCCUGAUCCAGCGACGUCGCGUGAGUGAAGAAGUACCUCGGUAUGUAAAGCCUUUUCUGCAGGGAAGAUAAUGACGGUACCUGUCUAAGAACCCCCGGCUAACGACGUGACAACAGCCGCGGGAAUACGUAGGGGGCCAGCGGUAUCCGGAUGUACUGGGUGUUAAGGGUGCUUAGUGGGCAAGACAAGGUAGGUGGGAAAACCCGGGGUUCAACCCCGGGCGUGCAUUUGAAACUGUCGGGCUGGAGUGAGGGAGAGGUAAGCGGAAGGCGUAGUGUAGCGGUGAAAUGCAUAGAUAUUAGGCAGAACACCGGUGGCGAAGGCAGCUUACUGGAGUGUAACUGACGCUGAGGCUCGAAAGCGUGGGGAGCGAACAGGAUUAGAUACCCGAGUAGUC